GUGGUUGGUAAACUGUGAACCAGUACUUAGUGUCUAUAGGGAAGAUCUAAAGAACGCUUUCACAGUGGGGAUCGAACCCGUGACCUCCUGGUUGCUAGGCGGACACCAUAUCCUUUACGCCACAGCUACCUCAGGGUUUGGGGUAACGGUACAGUUUGUCAAGACACCAAACGCAAAGCCUAUCCCAAGGCAAUGCCCCAUUUGCGUGGUAAAAGGCAACACGACUGUGUACCUCCGGGUAACAGACCACGUUCGCUGGGUGCAAGCGCUGACGGCAGACCCCAUGAAGCCGUUGAUGUCAGAGGCACGUGCUAAGACCGGUCGGAAAGUGAAGAAGAUAAAGCCGAGGAAUUACUACUCUUGCUGGCUGUGCGACCGGUCGGUGAUUGACCUGCUGCGUCAUCUAGAACAGGAGCACAAAAUGGAGGCUGGGACAUUCAAUUUUGUUUACACAAGAGGGCCGUUUCCGGAAAGUCGCGAAAACUUCAGGAAAGGUGACCAGCAGACUCGCCACUCAUGAUGACUCGGCAUAGGAGGAUGAGAAGGUGGAGGAUGAGGAGGAGGAGGAAGAGGACUUUUCAUUCCUAAUGCCGAAAUACUGCCUGAGCCUGGAACCCAAUGCAAGGGUGAUGCAUGGUCGGAGAAGCUGCAAUUUCAAUCGUUGACUCAUAUGUAGACUACAUGUUCCUGCGGAGCAGGCCAGGUGGGUUGGCAAACGAGUCGAAAACACAAGAGGUCAACAUGAAGAUCAACCGGUUCCUGGCCCUGUCUGGCUACUUGGAAGGAGUGGUGUUGAGUGACAUGCUGUUGUGGAUGGGCCAUAUGGAGGUCCACGACAGUUCCUCAACACCACUCACCAGCUGAAGACGGUGCGGAAUGCACUAACGGCAAUCAAGAACUUCCUGAAGUGGUGCGAGGGAAUGGUCUAGCGGACGCCCGCACAUUGAACAAUGCUUCCUGACCUCAACCUGCCUGGAUAAGAGCCGUCGCGAGGUUGUUCGGAGGGUAGAGGAGAGUGCGGCCAUCCUGACGGACGCAAACCUGGAGCGCCACUUCACUGAGAGUGAGCAUGUAGUGAAAACGAUCAAGGUGAUCCAGGAGCCCCCAGCUGGCACACCUGAAAGAUAUUCGGGGAAUAAUCAUUAAACUGAUAGCGCUCUAUAAUGCCUCCUGAACUGGCAAGUGUACCUAGAGAUUGAGCUGGAGACAGUGAAGGUGCUGACCUCUGUGUGGAACACUUAGAAGCUGGCAAGUUUUCAUAUUGAAGGGUAUGGUUCCCAACCGCCCAUCACACACAGAAUGAAGCUUGUCGUCUUCCGCAGUAAA
Dreissena polymorpha is the source of this 1326-nucleotide RNA transcript. RefSeq lists it as uncharacterized. The transcript has 7 exons. The record is from RefSeq and is a predicted model, not a curated record. NCBI's taxonomy places the organism in Eukaryota, Metazoa, Mollusca, Bivalvia, Myida, Dreissenidae.